UUUCAUCCCCGACAACAUUGUCCAGCACUCGGUGUUUGUUAUUUUCUCCAGACGAUUAUGUUUCUCCGUCGGCCCAGCUGAGUUGGUUGAUUAAUCCCCUACGGAGUUUAGUAUGUAUUCCCCAGCCGAGUUUAUAUUUGGUCUCAAGCAGAGUAAGAACGGUUCUUUGCAACAAUUUGCAUGGUUCUGAUAGGACUUUGCUUUCUCCACCAGUCGCCAUCAGAUUCGCUUCCAGUCAGAGUUUCCUCCUGGUUUCUGAGCAGUCAUUUGUG
This 272-nucleotide long non-coding RNA is filed under the name Lathyrus oleraceus (garden pea). Its description in RNAcentral is "Pisum sativum (pea) long non-coding RNA (PSAT_LNC028430)". The record is from RNAcentral. Lineage: Eukaryota; Viridiplantae; Streptophyta; Magnoliopsida; Fabales; Fabaceae.